Molecule: ribosomal RNA, 391 nt
Filed under: uncultured bacterium
Lineage: Bacteria
Description: partial 16S ribosomal RNA
Rfam family: Bacterial small subunit ribosomal RNA
Source: RNAcentral
UGGGGAAUAUUGCACAAUGGGCGCAAGCCUGAUGCAGCCAUGCCGCGUGUGUGAAGAAGGCCUUCGGGUUGUAAAGCACUUUCAGCGAGGAGGAAGGUGGUGAGCUUAAUACGCUCAUCAAUUGACGUUACUCGCAGAAGAAGCACCGGCUAACUCCGUGCCAGCAGCCGCGGUAAUACGGAGGGUGCAAGCGUUAAUCGGAAUUACUGGGCGUAAAGCGCACGCAGGCGGUUUGUUAAGUCAGAUGUGAAAUCCCCGGGCUCAACCUGGGAACUGCAUUUGAAACUGGCAAGCUAGAGUCUCGUAGAGGGGGGCUAGGAAAUUUCCAGGUGUAGCGGUGAAAUGCGUAGAGAUCUGGAGGAAUACCGGUGGCGAAGGCGGCCCCCCUGGA